AUUGAACGCUGGCGGCAGGCCUAACACAUGCAAGUCGAGCGGAUGAAGGGAGCUUGCUCCUGGAUUCAGCGGCGGACGGGUGAGUAAUGCCUAGGAAUCUGCCUGGUAGUGGGGGAUAACGUCCGGAAACGGGCGCUGAUACCGCCUACGUCCUGAGGGAGAAAGUGGGGGAUCUUCGGACCUCACGCUCUCAGAUGAGCCUAGGUCGGAUUAGCUAGUUGGUGGGGUAAAGGCCUACCAAGGCGACGAUCCGUAACUGGUCUGAGAGGAUGAUCAGUCACACUGGAACUGAGACACGGUCCAGACUCCUACGGGAGGCAGCAGUGGGGAAUAUUAGACAAUGGGCGAAAGCCUGAUCCAGCCAUGCCGCGUGUGUGAAGAAGGUCUUCGGAUUGUAAAGCACUUUAAGUUGGGAGGAAGGGCAGUAAGUUAAUACCUUGCUGUUUUGACGUUACCAACAGAAUAAGCACCGGCUAACUUCGUG
This 484-nucleotide ribosomal RNA is filed under the name uncultured bacterium. RNAcentral describes it as "partial 16S ribosomal RNA". It matches the Rfam family "Bacterial small subunit ribosomal RNA", at positions 30 to 507 of the family's 1533-position model. The record is from RNAcentral.